UAUGUGAUCGUCUCUCGCAUAUCAAUAAGCGGAGGAAAAGAAACUAACAAGGAUUCCCCUAGUAACGGCGAGUGAAGCGGGAAGAGCUCAAAUUUGAAAUCUUAAAGGGGUUUCCCUUUACGAAUUGUAGUUUAAAGAAGUGUUUUCUGUUGAGGUUUUGGUAAAAGUUCUUUGGAAUAGGACAUCAUAGAGGGUGAGAAUCCCGUAUUUGACCUUUACUUUCAACUUUGUGAUACACUUUCAAAGAGUCGGAUUGUUUGGGAAUGCAGUCCAAAAUGGGUGGUAAAUUUCGUCUAAAGCUAAAUAUUGGCGAGAGACCGAUAGCGAACAAGUACCGUGAGGGAAAGAUGAAAAGAACCUUGAAAAGAGAGUUAAACAGUACGUGAAAUUGUCAAAAGGGAAGCGUUUGACACCAGUGUUGUUUUUCUGAAAAUCAAUUAAAGAACUGUUUAUGCUAAGUUGUUUAGACUUUAUCAGCUAACUGUUUAGUUUUGAGCUUUUCUUUAAUGCACUUUUCAGUUAACAAGUCAACAUCAAUUUCUUUUGCUGUAAAAAAGCUUGAGGAAGGUGGCUUGAGAUUCGUCUUAAGUGUUUAUAGCCUCUUGCCUAUGCAGUCGGAGAGAUUGAGGUCUGCAGCGUAGAUCCUUCGGGGCUAAAUGCAUUUGUGCUAAGUUAUAGCAUUUUAUAGACAACUUGCUGACUAUGAUUUGUCUUGUAGCUUACUCGCUUAUGUUAUUUUACCUACGCUUAGGAUGUUGAUCUACAGAGCGAGAGU
RNAcentral lists this ribosomal RNA (775 nucleotides) under uncultured Neocallimastigales. RNAcentral describes it as "partial large subunit ribosomal RNA". It matches the Rfam family "Eukaryotic large subunit ribosomal RNA", at positions 24 to 631 of the family's 3401-position model. Lineage: Eukaryota; Fungi; Neocallimastigomycota; Neocallimastigomycetes; Neocallimastigales. The record is from RNAcentral.